This is a non-coding RNA of Podarcis lilfordi (Lilford's wall lizard), 73 nucleotides long. Lineage: Eukaryota; Metazoa; Chordata; Lepidosauria; Squamata; Lacertidae. The record is from the annotation of a GenBank genome assembly.
GAUUGGAUAGCUCAGUUGGUGGAGCAUGAGAACCUUAAUCUCAGGGUUGUGGGUUCAAGCCCCACAUUGGGCA